CGUAGGGUGAACCUGCGGAGGGAUCAUUAAAGAGUUAUUACAACUCCUAAACCCAUGUGAACUUACCGUACGUUGCCUCGGCAGGUCGCGCUCACCCCGUAGCACCCUACCACGUAGGGGCCUACUCGGUGGCCGCGGACUAAGCCUGUCGGUGGCCCAACCAAACUCUGUCAGUGAUUGUGUCUUCUGAACUUGACAACGAAAUACGUUAAAACUUUCAACAACGGAUCUCUUGGUUCUGGCAUCGAUGAAGAACGCAGCGAAAUGCGAUAAGUAAUGUGAAUUGCAGAAUUCAGUGAAUCAUCGAAUCUUUGAACGCACAUUGCGCCCAUUAGUAUUCUAGUGGGCAUGCCUGUUCGAGCGUCAUUUCAACCCUUAAGCCCCUGUUGCUUAGUGUUGGGAGCCUACAGCGAUGUAGCUCCUCAAAGUUAGUGGCGGAGUCGGUUACACACUCUAGGCGCAGUAAACUCUUUAUCUCGUUUCUACGGUUGUGGCCGGUCCCUUGCCGUAAAACCCCCACAAUUUCUCAAGGUUGACCUCGGAUCAGGUAGGAAUGCCCAGCUGAACUUAAGCAUAUCAAUAAGCGGAGGAA
Molecule: ribosomal RNA, 592 nt
Filed under: Xylaria sp. BAB-4952
Lineage: Eukaryota; Fungi; Ascomycota; Sordariomycetes; Xylariales; Xylariaceae
Description: eukaryotic LSU rRNA
Rfam family: 5.8S ribosomal RNA (bases 213-366)
Source: RNAcentral